Molecule: long non-coding RNA, 256 nt
Organism: Actinia tenebrosa (Australian red waratah sea anemone)
Lineage: Eukaryota; Metazoa; Cnidaria; Anthozoa; Actiniaria; Actiniidae
Source: RefSeq, a predicted model, not a curated record
UACGUUAGUAACUUCACUUUAUGUAGCUGUUUCCAUAGUAAUCAGCGUAUUCAGCAAUUAUUUGAUUGACAAGAGAUUAACUUAAUCUCUUAGCGUUCUACCCUUUUAAUUCAGUAUAGUGUAACACUCGUUUGAAGUAAGACGAACUUUCGGGAUUAAUAUCUUUAUGUAAUUGUUUURACUGACCCGCCAACGUUGUUGACCAGAUCAUUACCAGAUUCAAUAGUGCAAGAAUAAAAAGGAUUUGCGUACUCAA